This 384-nucleotide ribosomal RNA is filed under the name Psathyrocaris fragilis. RNAcentral's name for it is "partial 12S ribosomal RNA". The record is from RNAcentral. Lineage: Eukaryota; Metazoa; Arthropoda; Malacostraca; Decapoda; Pasiphaeidae.
UAGAUACCCUAUUAUACUAGAUUGAAAUGAAGGCUUACUUGAGUAGUAAAUAGAUAUGAUCUCGAAACUUAAAGGAUUUGGCGGUAUUUUAGUCUAGUUAGAGGAACCUGUUCUUUAAACGAUAAACCACGAAGUAUUUUACUUUACUUGGUAAAUCAGCUUGUAUACCGUCAUUACUAGAUAAUUUUAACAGAAAUUUGUUGGAAAAAUAUUAUUUAAAUAUAUUAGAUCAAGGUGCAGCCUAUAGUAGAGGAGGUAAUGGGUUACAAUAUUAUUUGUAUAACACGAAAUGAAAAAUGAAAAUUUUUUAGAAGGAGGAUUUAAUAGUAAUAAAAUUUUAUUAAGGUUUUAUGAUUAAAGCUCUAUAAUAUGCACACAUCGCCC